Molecule: ribosomal RNA, 497 nt
Filed under: uncultured bacterium
Lineage: Bacteria
Description: partial 16S ribosomal RNA
Rfam family: Bacterial small subunit ribosomal RNA
Source: RNAcentral
GACGAACGCUGGCGGCGUGCCUAAUACAUGCAAGUCGAACGAGAGCGACCGGUGCUGCACUGGUCAAUCUAGUGGCGAACGGGUGAGUAACACGUGGGUAACCUGCCCAUCAGAGGGGGAUAACAUCCGGAAACGGAUGCUAAAACCGCAUAGGUCUUCGAACCGCAUGGUUUGAAGAGGAAAAGAGGCGCAAGCUUCUGCUGAUGGAUGGACCCGCGGUGCAUUAGCUAGUUGGUGAGGUAACGGCUCACCAAGGCCGUGAUGCAUAGCCGACCUGAGAGGGUGAUCGGCCACAUUGGGACUGAGACACGGCCCAAACUCCUACGGGAGGCAGCAGUAGGGAAUCUUCCGCAAUGGACGCAAGUCUGACGGAGCAACGCCGCGUGAGUGAAGAAGGUUUUCGGAUCGUAAAACUCUGUUGUUAGAGAAGAACAAGUGCUAGAGUAACUGUUAGCGCCUUGACGGUAUCUAACCAGAAAGCCACGGCUAACUACGUG